Molecule: ribosomal RNA, 438 nt
Filed under: uncultured bacterium
Lineage: Bacteria
Description: bacterial SSU rRNA
Rfam family: Bacterial small subunit ribosomal RNA
Source: RNAcentral
UUGCCACUGGGGCGCAGCCUGAUGCAGCCAUGCCGCGUGAGUGAAGAAGGCCUUCGGGUUGUAAAGCUCUUUUAGCGGGGAGGAAGGGGUUAAGGUUAAUAACCUUAGCCAUUGACGUUACCCGCAGAAAAAGCACCGGCUAACUCCGUGCCAGCAGCCGCGGUAAUACGGAGGGUGCAAGCGUUAAUCGGAAUUACUGGGCGUAAAGCGCACGCAGGCGGUCUGUCAAGUCGGAUGUGAAAUCCCCGGGCUCAACCUGGGAACUGCAUUCGAAACUGGCAGGCUUGAGUCUCGUAGAGGGGGGUAGAAUUCCAGGUGUAGCGGUGAAAUGCGUAGAGAUCUGGAGGAAUACCGGUGGCGAAGGCGGCCUCCUGGACUAUGACUGACGCUCAUGUGCGAAAGCGUGUGGAUCAAACAGGAUUAGAUACCCUGGUAGUC